Tetranychus urticae (two-spotted spider mite) is the source of this 5897-nucleotide non-coding RNA. Lineage: Eukaryota; Metazoa; Arthropoda; Arachnida; Trombidiformes; Tetranychidae. The record is from RefSeq and is a predicted model, not a curated record.
UGAAUCACAUGGAGAAGAAAGCAUUAGCGAGUGGAAACAAGGAGGAGAUACAAGUUGGAGGUGGAAAUGUUUAUAUUUAUAAAUGAAUAUAUAUUUAGAUUGUUAAAGAGGGAAUAACAUGGUGAUAAUCGUGAGCUCAAGCUAAUUGGGAAUUUCACGCUUCUCCUAAACUCUAUUCUCAUGGUUUCAUCGCCUUCCAUUCAAUCCGUACAAAUAACAACAAAACAUCAUCAGCAGCCAAUUUACUUGAAACAAUUUUUCCUCAUCUUCUUCUCCAGGUUAAAUGAAGGAUACAAUACUCUUUCUUUUUUUCAUCACCAGCACAUCAUCAUCAUCAUUAUCAACUUUAUUUUCAUCAUCAUCUUCAUGGUCAAAAGCCAAUCCCAAUCUUAACAAGAGUAAAGCUUAAAAAGGUAUAUUUAUCGUGUGAAAUACGAUAUACCAAUUGAGGUGUGUUCAUCAUCAUCUUCAUUUCAUCUGUAUCAUCGCCAUUGCCAUCAACCAUCAGCUGUACAUCAGAAACUAUUGGCCCUUAAACGGAAAUCCCAAAGUCUAAAGUAAUGGAAGAAGCGCAAGAAGUGUUCAAAUGAUCAAAUGAAAUGGCAAACAAUAAGUAGUUUCAAUUUUAGCUCAUCAUUCAUCAACAAGCUCAUCAUAUUGAUAAAUAUUUUGAUUUUAUCCGCAAACUUGAUUCCUUUGUCAAUAUUGUUUUAUUUCAAUUACAAUUUUUGCCCAUUGAAACAGUAACAGUUAGCAAAAAAGGCCAAACACUUUAACGAGGUUCCUAUUGUGACCCGAGAAGGACGCAAAUAUCCGAGGACAAAAACGCAAAAAGAGCAGCCAAAACCACAAUCCACUUAAAUUUGGCCCUUUCCUUCAUCUUUUUUUUGUUGCUUCCCUUUGUCAUCUUCAUCUACAUCAUCAUUGGACUCACUUUACGUGUGUUUAUAUUUUCUGUCUAUUGAUUGUUGACUUUAUGAAGGUAACUUCAUUUUUGAAUAGUUAAUCAAACGAUGACGACCAAAGAUGAAGAUGCCAAAGAGAGGCAACACAAAAAAAGUGUCAAAACUAUUGAAUAGAUUUGGCAAAAGGAAAUAAAUGAACUUCCUUUUUUUCACCAGCAACCAGCAAAAGAAAUUGCAGGUAAAAAGGAAAAAAGGUGUUCCAAUGGCAAUGGUUUUUACUGUUGUUGUUGAUGUUUUAUUUUGUUACAUUGUCAUUGUAACCUUUCAUUGUUGACUCUUGUCGAUCUACUUUUGAACAGAUUGAGUGUUGAUUAUUAUAAAGGUUAUUUUGUCCUCUUUAAGCUUGUAUAUUUUUCAAUUGAAUUGAAAUUUAUAUUGAUAUUUAAUAAUAAUAGUAAUCAUAUAUCAAUAGACUUUACCAGGUAAAAAAAGAGAGAGUCUCAAUGAAUAUGAAAUGAAGCAAAUGAAACAACAUCAACAACAACAAAAGCCAACGGAUACGUUGUCAAACAUAAUCUAAUUUAUAUCAUUGAAGCCAAAAAGUGAUACAAAUUGUAUAAUAAUCAUAACACAGUUAACCUUAACGCAUACCAAUUGAUUACUUGUAAUGUGUACAUUUUUGUUGUACCAUUUAACACCAUUAAUCAAUUGAUUGUUGCUUUACAAGACGGUUAAACAUUUUCAAAGAAACACUGAUUUCCUUGAGAAGCAAAUCUUCAGACACUUUCAAUUGAUCCAUCAACAUCACUAAAUUAAUUUAAUAUUCACUUCUUGAUUUUAAACCUUUCAAAAUGCCAUUUCAAUUGUAAAUCUUGUUCUGAGAUUUUUAAUUUAAUUUUGAAUGUUAACCUUCGCACUGGUUUGAUAACAAUUUGAAAAUCAAUGUUGUGACAAUUUAAUCCAAAAGCCGUUACAAAAGCUACUUUCAACAAUUUUUGUUGAUGGUUUUGUUUCAAUCUGUUCAAUCCGAUUUCACCUUUUUUCAGUUUAAUCAUCACUUGUUGACUACCUUUUUGUUUGUUUGCUCAGGUUAAUUUAUUCCAUACCAACUAACCUAUCAACAUGAAAUCUAAUCAAUAAUAAAGAACAAUCAAGAGAAUUGGAAAAUUGUUGAAAGAAACAAUUUUUCAAAUCAACUUUUCCUUGUUCAUCUUUUUUUUGCUGAACAGGUGAAAGCUCGUUAACUGUUUCAAUGUAAUCAAUAAAACACCGGGUUUCUCUUGUUUAUGUGAUUAAUCUAAACCAAUCUUUACUCACCUCAUAAUCAUUGAUCAAAUUGUAUAUUUUCAAUUUAAAACUAUAUUAAUCAUUGGAAACAAAAAUAAUUGUAACUUGAAUACAAACAAAAUGCUCAACAAAAGGUAAACUAGAUUAUAAUUUACAUUUUCAUGUAACCUGGUUUAACUGCUUUAAUAAGAACCUUUGAUUUAGGAUUAGUUGGCUUCAUUAAAUAUUGAUCGAUAUUAAAUUUAGAUUUAAUUUAAUCGAGAUUAAAAAUUGCGCUCAUUUUUUGUGGCUCCAUCUAAUAUUAAUUAAGGUCAUUGUUUCCAUUUAUUCAUCUCUUGUUUUUUCAAUUUGGGUUUGAAUUUUUCAUCAAUUUCAUCUUAUUCAACUGAAUAUCUAAUCAUUUUUGUGCAUUGGAUACUUAUCUGAAGUGAAUCUGAAUCUGUGAUAAAUCAACCUAUGAGUUUGUUAAAGUUACAAAAUAAUGUUUUAAAAAAGCCAAGAAUGCUUCAAUUGAAUAUUCAAGAUCCAUGUUUAUCUUUACAUGUUUUGGACUGAUAUUUUAUAUCAUUGUGUUAUUGAUAUUUUUGGAUAUUCAUUAUGGUCUAUCAGUUUGUCAUAAAAUAUGAUUUACCUUGAAAAAAUGUAACCAAAUUGAAAGCUCUUUUCUUCAGAAAUCAUUUGCACAAUUUAUCUCAACUUGUCAUGUCAAUGUUUUCAAUUAUCAAUUUAACCGCUUUAAUAUGACUAUUGCAACAAAUGACAAUAGAUGGGGUUCUCCAAUUCUUGGUCACUUUGGGCAGUUUAAGGAUAUCAAGGAAUCUGAAUGUCGACUAGUCUUUCAAUGGAAUGGCAGAUAUAGAACUGAAUCACGCUUCGAAGUGUUACUGAUGUCUCUUGCAAUGUACCGUUGUUAACCAUGUAUGGUUUAAAAUACGAAAGAUAUUGGAUUGCAAAGUCAAACCGUACCGAAUUACCGAACUUUUCAUGUUACAGACUUUCCACGCAUCAAGACCAACCCUCUUAGUUCGAUUUGGAUGUCUAACGCAACUGAAAUUCAAUGUAUAGAUGUUUAGAUUGUGCGUCUUCAAGUGUAUUAUGAAAGUUGAAUCAUCAAUAUUAUAUCCACCAAAAGGCAAAAGUAUUAUGAAUUAGCAAAGGAACCACAAAAUUGAUAACAACACCAAUCAAGAAAAGAUAAUUUAUUCAGCUAUCAUUACCAAUGUUCACACUGGACGAUUGAAAAAAAGGAAACUGAAGAAACAAGAAAUGAUUGCUGUUAUUUGUUGAUUUUUGUACUUUAUGCGAACAAGCCUGAAGUGGAUAAGUAUUGUUGGAAUGACGAAACUUCAUCUGGUAAAAUACUUCGAUAUUUAGAUCUAAAAUGAAUUACGUUUCGAAGUUACUUAUGACUCUCAACCCUACAUGCAUAUAGUUUAAAAUACAAAAGAUAUUGGAUGGCAAAAUCAACGCAAAAUGAAUGUCGUGUUUGAAUUUUGGCAGUUCCUGUUUGUUAAUGGAUAAUGUUAAUAAGCUGAUUUAAAAAGUCAUUUUGUAUGUUAAGAGCUGUUAAAUACAAUAGUUACCAAUACAAAAUGACUUAAAUUGUACAUUAAAAAGAGCUUCUCCUCUUGGAAAACAUUAACCUGUCUAAUAAGGUUUGAUAGUUUCACAUCAUCUCUCAACCACAGCCAUGUAACCAGUAUGGAGAUAAUCAUUUGCUAAACAGGAAAAACGAAACGUUUUGUCACCAAAACAAUUUUUGUUCAUCAUAACCAUUUCAUAUUCCUGAUCGGUAAUUCAGUUGGUGAGGAGGAGUCAAUGUUUUACCAUGGUAUACCUCCUAGCCUAUCAACAUAAUCCUGCUGAACAGAAGAAGAAAGAAAAAAAGAAAUCAGUAAUUGUUAAUAUUACCUUGUGAAAUGUCUUAUAACAUUGAUCAAGGAACCAUAGCGAUUGUCCAUUAAUAAUGAACAAAUCUUUCGCUUUCUCCAGAUAAGUAAUGAUGAUGGAAAUGUUAUGCUACUAACCAUGUUAACUCAAUGGUUAAAUAGUUUAUUAUUACAAGCAAUUAAUAAUCCACUGAUGAUCAGAUAAAUUGAACAAAAAAGCAUAAACACUUGACAUAUCGACAAUUAAUAUUAUCAACUAGAGUUUUGACAAUUGUCUUAAACUUUCUUCUUGUCAAAAUUGCGUUUCCAUUGAUCAUUACAUAAACAUUUAUUUUAUGAGCAUUUGUUGAACACCACCAGCUAAAAUCAUCAUAAUCAUUGUUAUCAUCCCAAUUAUCAUUACUAUUAUUGUUUUACAGUUGAACAAAAUUCAUGAUAUAAUCUUGAUUCGUACAAGCAAUUGUCUCGAUGGCUGUGUGUGUGUCGCCUGUUUUGCGCUAUAAGUUAUCUUGCUUCACUUUGCUGUUUUUAAGUGAUAAAUGAACUGUUUGAGAAGAUAUUAUGUUGAUUGGAAUCAACUAAUUUAAGUUGACAAUGAAAAAGUGUUUGUUAAUGUUUUUCCUUGAUUCACCGAGUAAAUACAAAAUCAUUCAUUCCAAUCAGAAAGAUAAAGGCAAGAAAACAUUGAGAAACAAAUAAGAAUUUAAAAAUUGCCAUUUUAACCUGAGAAACGUUGCACCAGAAUUGAAAUGAUUUCAUUUUCAAGACAAUUUACUAUCAACAUUGGCUUAAUGAGGUAACAAAUGGGUUCCACCAUUAUAGUAGCAGCAUAAUAUAACAAUAAUAAUCAACCAACAAAACCUUUAUUGUUUUGAUAAUAGUAAUGUUGUUAUUGACUUGUUUAUAUGCUUAUUUAUUAUAAUGUAUAUAACAAAAUACAUGAUAAAUAAUAGUAGCUUUAACCAGAGUUGAUUGUCAUUUUGUUUGCUCAUUUUGGGUCGUUGUUGUUGUUGUUGUUGUACAUUUAUAGCUUGCCCAUUGUUACAGUGAUAGUUGUUAAUCUGGUAACAAUCAGCUUCUUAGUUUCUUUUGGUUAGGUUAAUAACUGAAACACGUUUUACAAAUCAAAUCUAAUUUUCAUUUUCUUGUUUUUCUUUUAUAGAUUAAUUGAAAGACUGAUCAAAUGGCGAUUUCAAGGCAAUCAAGUAAAAAGGAUUACCAAGAAGGCAUUUUCAAGAGUUGAAAGGAUUUAAUUUGCAUAAUACACAUACAAAUGUUCCAGUCAAUAACAAAGUAAAAAGGAUUACCCUUGCAGCUUAGAUUAACAACAUUAUCAUUCAUCUAUUGUCAUUUGCCUUUACCAACGAAAUUGAGUUGCGAUUGAUAGUCAAAUUGUCAGAUUGAAGGGUUGAUUCUCGCCGUCUAAACUGUCAACCAUCAAAGUUAAUCAGUCAUCAGAAUCACAGUUGUAAGGAAAACAAGAAAAGUUGGAUUAAAAUGCUUACAAUAAUUAAAAUGUUUGCAUAGUUUUGCUGUGCCACGUUGACUGACCAGUAAUCAUAACUCUUCAUCCAUUGAAUACAAAAACAUUAGCUAUUCAACAUCAUUUGGUUUUUGUUACCGAUGAGCAUAUUGUCAUCAACAUAAUUUGUUUAAUCAAAUACAUCAAAUAGCUGAUAGUCUAGAGUAUCUAUGAACGCAAUUUCAACUCUUCGGAUAAAUCAAUAAAUUGAUAAAUUAAUUUUGAAUUUUUUCACCCAAAAUUAUCAAUAGAGCUUACAAGUUAGCAGUAAAAUGAACUUGGUUGGAUAGCUGA